This 490-nucleotide ribosomal RNA is filed under the name uncultured bacterium. Its description in RNAcentral is "partial 16S ribosomal RNA". It matches the Rfam family "Bacterial small subunit ribosomal RNA", at positions 30 to 507 of the family's 1533-position model. The record is from RNAcentral.
AUUGAACGCUGGCGGCAUGCCUAACACAUGCAAGUCGAACGGUAACAGGAAUCAGCUUGCUGCUUCGCUUACGAGUGGCGGACGUGUGAGGAAUGUCUGGGAAACUGCCUGAUGGAGGGGGAUAACUACUGGAAACGUUAGCUAAUACCGCAUAACGUCGCACGACCAAGGAGGGGGACCUUAGGGCCUCUUGCCAUCGGAUGUGCCCAGGUGGGAGUAGCUAGUAGGUGGGGUAACGGCUCACCUAGGCGCCGAUCCCUAGCUGGUCUGAGAGGAUGACCAGCGACACUGGAACUGAGACACGGUCCAGACUCCUACGGGAGGCAGCAGUGGGGAAUAUUGCACAAUGGGCGCAAGCCUGAUGCAGCGAUGCCGCGUGUAUGAAGAAGGGCCUCGGGUUGUAAAGUACUUUCAGCGGGGAGGAAGGGAGUAAAGUUAAUACCUGUGCUCAUUGACGUUACCCGCAGAAGAAGCACCGGCUAACUCCGUG